GAUGAACGCUGACAGAAUGCUUAACACAUGCGAGUCGAUUCGAUUUACCUUCGGGUAUUGAGGAUGGCGGACGGGUGAGUAACGCGUAAGGAACUUGCCUCUUGGUCUGGGACAACUGUUGGAAACGACAGCUAAUACCGGAUAUUAUGAGAUUCUCGCAUGGGAAACUUAUGAAAGCUAUAUGCGCCAAGAGAGAGCCUUGCGUUCCAUUAGCUAGUUGGUGGGGUAACGGCUCACCAAGGCGACGAUGGAUAGCCGGCCUGAGAGGGUGAACGGCCACAAGGGGACUGAGACACGGCCCUUACUCCUACGGGAGGCAGCAGUGGGGAAUAUUGGACAAUGGACCAAAAGUCUGAUCCAGCAAUUCUGUGUGCACGAUGAAGGUCUUCGGAUUGUAAAGUGCUUUCAGUUGGGAAGAAGCAAGUGACGGUACCAACAGAAGAAGCGACGGCUAAACACGUGCCAGCAGCCGCCGUAA
RNAcentral lists this ribosomal RNA (478 nucleotides) under uncultured bacterium. RNAcentral's name for it is "partial 16S ribosomal RNA". It matches the Rfam family "Bacterial small subunit ribosomal RNA", at positions 28 to 523 of the family's 1533-position model. The record is from RNAcentral.